RNAcentral lists this ribosomal RNA (252 nucleotides) under uncultured bacterium. RNAcentral describes it as "partial 16S ribosomal RNA". It matches the Rfam family "Bacterial small subunit ribosomal RNA", at positions 524 to 776 of the family's 1533-position model. The record is from RNAcentral.
UACGGAGGUGGCAAGCGUUGCUCGGAAUCACUGGGCGUAAGGGCGCGUAGGCGGGGAGGUAAGUCGGGUGUGAAAUCCCUCGGCCCAACCGAGGAACUGCGCCCGAGACUGCUUCUCUUGAGUCCCGGAGAGGAAGAUGGAAUUCCCGGUGUAGCGGUGAAAUGUGUAGAGAUCGGGAGGAACACCGGUGGCGAAGGCGGUCUUCUGGACGGUGACUGACGCUGAGGCGCGAAAGCGUGGGGAGCAAACAGG